Molecule: ribosomal RNA, 210 nt
Filed under: uncultured bacterium
Lineage: Bacteria
Description: partial 16S ribosomal RNA
Rfam family: Bacterial small subunit ribosomal RNA
Source: RNAcentral
GCAAGUCGAACGAUAUAGUGGCAGACGGGUGAGUAACGCGUGGAAACGUGCCUUUCACUACGGAAUAGCUUUUGGAAACGAAAGGUAAUACCGUAUAAGCCCGCAGGGGGAAAGAUUUAUCGGUGAAAGAUGGGUCCGCGUAAGAUUAGCUAGUUGGUGAGGUAAGAGCUCACCAAGGCGACGAUCUAUAGCUGGUCUGAGAGGAUGAUC